UCUGUGUUGCUAUCACUAGCCGCAUACAGUUGCCAGCGGCCAGGUUUGGUUGUUUACCACAGGUGAGGGCUGUUAGUUGGUAGCCUCACGUGCGGUUGCCGCUGGCAACAUGCUGUUGUUGGCAGUGUAGCAGCCUGAGCUUGUUGCU
This is a long non-coding RNA of Bufo bufo (common toad), 148 nucleotides long. RefSeq lists it as uncharacterized. The record is from RefSeq and is a predicted model, not a curated record. The transcript has 3 exons. Lineage: Eukaryota; Metazoa; Chordata; Amphibia; Anura; Bufonidae.